GACGAACGCUGGCGGCGUGCUUAACACAUGCAAGUCGAACGGAAAGGCCCUGCUUUUGUGGGGUGCUCGAGUGGCGAACGGGUGAGUAACACGUGAGUAACCUGCCCUUGACUUUGGGAUAACUUCAGGAAACUGGGGCUAAUACCGGAUAGGAGCUCCUGCUGCAUGGUGGGGGUUGGAAAGUUUCGGCGGUUGGGGAUGGACUCGCGGCUUAUCAGCUUGUUGGUGGGGUAGUGGCUUACCAAGGCUUUGACGGGUAGCCGGCCUGAGAGGGUGACCGGCCACAUUGGGACUGAGAUACGGCCCAGACUCCUACGGGAGGCAGCAGUGGGGAAUAUUGCACAAUGGGCGGAAGCCUGAUGCAGCAACGCCGCGUGCGGGAUGACGGCCUUCGGGUUGUAAACCGCUUUCGCCUGUGACGAAGCGUGAGUGACGGUAAUGGGUAAAGAAGCACCGGCUAACUACGUGCCAGCAGCCGCGGUGAUACGUAGGGUGCGAGCGUUGUCCGGAUUUAUUGGGCGUAAAGGGCUCGUAGGUGGUUGAUCGCGUCGGAAGUGUAAUCUUGGGGCUUAACCCUGAGCGUGCUUUCGCUACGGGUUGACUUGAGGAAGGUAGGGGAGAAUGGAAUUCCUGGUGGAGCGGUGGAAUGCGCAGAUAUCAGGAGGAACACCAGUGGCGAAGGCGGUUCUCUGGGCCUUUCCUGACGCUGAGGAGCGAAAGCGUGGGGAGCGAACAGGCUUAGAUACCCUGGUAGUCCACGCUGUAAACGGUGGGUACUAGGUGUGGGGUCCAUUCCACGGGUUCCGUGCCGUAGCUAACGCUUUAAGUACCCCGCCUGGGGAGUACGGCCGCAAGGCUAAAACUCAAAGGAAUUGACGGGGCCCCGCACAAGCGGCGGAGCAUGCGGAUUAAUUCGAUGCAACGCGUAGAACCUUACCUGGGUUUGACAUGGAUCGGGAGUGCUCAGAGAUGGGUGUGCCUCUUUUGGGGUCGGUUCACAGGUGGUGCAUGGCUGUCGUCAGCUCGUGUCGUGAGAUGUUGGGUUAAGUCCCGCAACGAGCGCAACCCUUGUUCACUGUUGCCAGCACGUUAUGGUGGGGACUCAGUGGAGACCGCCGGGGUCAACUCGGAGGAAGGUGGGGAUGACGUCAAGUCACCAUGCCCCUUAUGUCCAGGGCUUCACGCAUGCUACAAUGGCUGGUACAGAGAGUGGCGAGCCUGUGAGGGUGAGCGAAUCCCGGAAAGCCGGUCUCAGUUCGAAUUGGGGUCUGCAACUCGACCUCAUGAAGUCGGAGUCGCUAGUAAUCGCAGAUCAGCAACGCUGCGGUGAAUACGUUCCCGGG
Molecule: ribosomal RNA, 1343 nt
Filed under: uncultured bacterium
Lineage: Bacteria
Description: 16S ribosomal RNA
Rfam family: Bacterial small subunit ribosomal RNA
Source: RNAcentral